RNAcentral lists this ribosomal RNA (253 nucleotides) under uncultured bacterium. RNAcentral describes it as "partial 16S ribosomal RNA". It matches the Rfam family "Bacterial small subunit ribosomal RNA", at positions 524 to 776 of the family's 1533-position model. The record is from RNAcentral.
UACGUAGGGUGCGAGCGUUAAUCGGAAUUACUGGGCGUAAAGCGCGCGUAGGCGGUUAGAUGAGUCCGUCGUGAAAGCCCUGGGCUUAACCUGGGAACUGCGGUGGAUACUGUCUGGCUAGAGUGUGGUAGAGGGCAGUGGAAUUUCCGGUGUAGCAGUGAAAUGCGUAGAGAUCGGAAGGAACACCAGUGGCGAAGGCGGCUGCCUGGACCAACACUGACGCUGAGGUGCGAAAGCGUGGGGAGCAAACAGG